ACACGUUAUAUUAUAAGUUAAAAUAUAUUAUGAAUGACCAGUUAACUGGAUAAUGACUUUAACUUGAAUAAUAGUACUUGAUAAGCCAACUAUAGUAUAUGAAUACUAAGUUUUCUUAUAAGCACAAGAGUUGUAAUAUAAGUUAAAGUAUAUAAAUAAUAAGAUAACUGGAUAAUAAAUUUAACUUGAAGUAACCUCAGAUGAUGACAAGAUAACUGGAUGAGGGAUCUGCACGAAAGUAGUCAACCUCAGUUUAUUACCAGAUAAUUAACUGGAUGAGGGAUCUCUUUGUUUCUUUUUAACUUGUUAGAUUAUUAAAAAUAGAAAACAAAAGAACACAAAAGAAUUUAUACUGGUUCAGUCUCAACCGACCUACGCCUAGUCUCGUGAUAUACCCUCACGAAAUUCACUUGCCUAGAGGUAUUGGCGAAACCUGAAUCCUUUACAGGUAGAUUCCACCUAAGAGUUUUAUCAGGAAACUCUAUAAAAUCAACCAGAGCUUUUACUAGGCUACCACGCUCAAGAACUUUGAAUCUUUUACAGGUAGAUUCCACCUAAGAGUUUUAUCAGGAAAUUCUAUAAAACCAACCAGAGCUUUUACUAGGCUACCACGCUCAAGAACCUUGAAUCUUUUACAGGUAGAUUCCACCUAAGAGUUUUACCAGGAAACUCUAUAAAACCAACCUUGAGCUUUUUGGUUCAACUCAAUAAUCUCACACCUUGGUAAUCUUGAAAACAACCUCUCUCAACCAAAGUGGAAAACACACAAAAAGAUGUAAGAGUUUUGGACAACACUUCAACUUAACUUAGAUUACUCAAGAAGAUUAGAAGAAGUGUAGAGCUUUUAGGAACUUUGAGCAAAGAACACUUGGACACAACCUUGGACGUUGGAAGCUUGGAAGCUUUGAAGGUGGUGAACUUGAGAGUGGAAAUGUGGAACUCAAGGUAGGAAUUUUGAAAGCUUUUG
This 967-nucleotide long non-coding RNA is filed under the name Zostera marina. RNAcentral describes it as "long non-coding RNA (ZMAR_LNC005254)". The record is from RNAcentral. Lineage: Eukaryota; Viridiplantae; Streptophyta; Magnoliopsida; Alismatales; Zosteraceae.